AACGAACGCUGGCGGCAUGCCUAACACAUGCGAGUCGAACGAGACCUUCGGGUCUAGUGGCGCACGGGUGCGUAACGCGUGGGAACCUGCCCUUAGGUUCGGAAUAACUCCCCGAAAGGGGUGCUAAUACCGGAUAAUGUCUUCGGACCAAAGAUUUAUCGCCUUUGGAUGGGCCCGCGUUGGAUUAGCUAGUUGGUAGGGUAAAAGCCUACCAAGGCGACGAUCCAUAGCUGGUCUGAGAGGAUGAUCAGCCACACUGGGACUGCGACACGGCCCAGACUCCUACGGGAGGCAGCAGUGGGGAAUAUUGGACAAUGGGCGAAAGCCUGAUCCAGCAAUGCCGCGUGAGUGAUGAAGGCCUUAGGGUUGUAAAGCUCUUUUACCCGGGAUGAUAAUGACAGUACCGGGAGAAUAAGCUCCGGCUAACUCCGUG
This 433-nucleotide ribosomal RNA is filed under the name uncultured bacterium. RNAcentral describes it as "partial 16S ribosomal RNA". It matches the Rfam family "Bacterial small subunit ribosomal RNA", at positions 29 to 507 of the family's 1533-position model. The record is from RNAcentral.